Molecule: long non-coding RNA, 550 nt
Organism: Drosophila gunungcola (fruit fly)
Lineage: Eukaryota; Metazoa; Arthropoda; Insecta; Diptera; Drosophilidae
Exons: 3
Source: RefSeq, a predicted model, not a curated record
GUCAAAUUUUAACGUUGGACUAACUGGAAACUUUUUGAAAAGGCAAAACGUCUGCUGUUCCUAUCUCAUUCUGUUUCACCCAGUAUAUUUGGUAUGUUUUGUCAUCCACAACCAAAAUGCCGGGCACUGGAGCAGCCUCAAUGCGAUCAUCUUCCCGCACGGCGUGGAAACCAGAAUUGGAAGUCUUGAGCUAGUACAUAGAGGAUUCAAGAGGUACUAGAAAGAACUCCCAUGUCAACCAAAUGAAGGCCAUGACCAUUACGCAGCAGUAGUUUGACGUGGGUUGGACAGAAAUCCGGUCAAAAUUUAAAACUUCACAAGGAAGUACAAGAAAAGGCCUCUGUUUCUUUUAGAAUUGCAGAACAUCCUUCCGCCAGAGGAGGACCCUAUAGAGUUGGACACAGAAGAGGUAACCAUCCAAGAGCCGUCAACUGUAAAACCAACGAGCAAACGUGCAAAAAAGUACCACCAUGAGUUGAGGAACGAAAUUCAAAGGGAGAAGCAGCAGCAGACACUAGAGCAUCAGUGCAAAACCAAGGACAAUUUUGGA